This 301-nucleotide ribosomal RNA is filed under the name uncultured bacterium. RNAcentral's name for it is "partial 16S ribosomal RNA". It matches the Rfam family "Bacterial small subunit ribosomal RNA", at positions 509 to 809 of the family's 1533-position model. The record is from RNAcentral.
CAGUCGCCGCGGGAAUACGUAGGGCGCAAGCGUUGUCCGGAAUUAUUGGGCGUAAAGAGCUCGUAGGCGGUCUGUCGCGUCUGGUGUGAAAUCCCGAGGCUCAACCUCGGGCUUGCAUCGGGUACGGGCAGACUAGAGUGCGGUAGGGGAGACUGGAAUUCCUGGUGUAGCGGUGGAAUGCGCAGAUAUCAGGAGGAACACCGAUGGCGAAGGCAGGUCUCUGGGCCGCAACUGACGCUGAGGAGCGAAAGCAUGGGGAGCGAACAGGAUUAGAUACCCGAGUAGUCCCUGUCUCUUAUAA